UCCAUCGCUGAACUGCCUCUGUACCGUUCAGAGAUUUCUCUUAAUCGUCUUCUCCAUUUCGCCCUUCGAGGAGGGAAAGGGAGAUUCCUCUCUCUCUCUCUCUCUCUCUGCGAGCCUCUUUGAAGCCAUUGAAGAAGAAGGCACUGAAAGCCUCUUGAUCUGAGAGACGCAUCGCAGAGAGAGAUCGAGCCUCGGCACUACAUUUCUUGCGAUUCAUAGCCUGAAGAAAGGAGAGGAGAAAAUCACAGCACGAUUCGGAGUCAAAUGGCGGUUUCCAGGACGUCUUUUGGAUUUGUUGCUGCGGCUGCGCUCAUCUUUGCUAUUUUCUUGCCGGUUGCUCAGCCUCAGUCCUUGGCUCCGGCACCCGCUCCCACCAGCGACGGGACAUCCAUAGACCAAGGGAUAGCUUAUGUGUUGAUGUUGGUGGCAUUGGCACUCACAUAUCUCAUCCACAACGCUGACUUAUCCAACAGCUUCUAAAAGACUGUAUCAAGCACUUGGAGAAAACCUCCUUUGAUCAAAAGGGAAGGGAAUUUAGUUAGAAAUGCAAGUGGGGUUUGAGGGGACUGGAUUUUUUUUUGUUUUUUUUUUUGCAUAUUGUAGUUCCUUUGGAACCUGUUUUGAUCAAAGAGGAAGAGAAUUUAGUUAGAAAUGCAAAUGGGUCUUGAGGGAUUUGGAUUCUUUUGCAUAUUGUAGCAGUUCCUUUGGUGUUUCUGUUUUGUUCUUAUUUAUAAUGAUGAAAGUCAGUUGGUGUGGUCUUGUAUUGCUGUGUACAGUGUCCUGAGUUUGAAUGCUACUCCUGGCUCCCUUUUCAUGUUU
This is a non-coding RNA of Cucurbita pepo subsp. pepo (vegetable marrow), 819 nucleotides long. NCBI's taxonomy places the organism in Eukaryota, Viridiplantae, Streptophyta, Magnoliopsida, Cucurbitales, Cucurbitaceae. The record is from RefSeq and is a predicted model, not a curated record.